AUUAUUCAUAGAUUCCAAAAUGAACCACUGAUGGUAAAAUUAUAGAGAGUAAGUAAGUUACAAAGAAGAGCACUAAUGCAAUUUGUGAUGACUGAUACAGAUCUAUGUUUAUUCCCUGGUGAUAACACAGUCUUAUCACUAAUUAAUAAUUUACUAUUCUUUGCUGACUUAGGAUCAGUAAGUUAAUGUUCCAUUCCAUCACUUUCUCUGCAAAAGACUUUAAGUAAUUCAUGAAUACUUCAUAUAGCUAUUUCUGUGCCAAGAAGAUGGCACCAUUAAUGCAUAAAUCAAACGUUGUCAGUUGUUUCUGCUUCUAAAAGCUAGUUUAAGCUCAAAAAACACAUUUUCCUCACUGAAUAUUUUUCUGCACAAAUCAUGUUACAGUAUGCUAG
Molecule: non-coding RNA, 392 nt
Organism: Pelobates cultripes (western spadefoot toad)
Lineage: Eukaryota; Metazoa; Chordata; Amphibia; Anura; Pelobatidae
Source: the annotation of a GenBank genome assembly